RNAcentral lists this ribosomal RNA (496 nucleotides) under uncultured bacterium. RNAcentral's name for it is "partial 16S ribosomal RNA". It matches the Rfam family "Bacterial small subunit ribosomal RNA", at positions 28 to 506 of the family's 1533-position model. The record is from RNAcentral.
GAUGAACGCUGGCGGCGUGCCUAAUACAUGCCAGUCGAGCGAACGGACGAGAAGCUUGCUUCUCUGAUGUUAGCGGCGGACGGGUGAGUAACACGUGGAUAACCUACCUAUAAGACUGGGAUAACUUCGGGAAACCGGAGCUAAUACCGGAUAAUAUUUUGAACCGCAUGGUUCAAAAGUGAAAGACGGUCUUGCUGUCACUUAUAGAUGGAUCCGCGCUGCAUUAGCUAGUUGGUAAGGUAACGGCUUACCAAGGCAACGAUGCAUAGCCGACCUGAGAGGGUGAUCGGCCACACUGGAACUGAGACACGGUCCAGACUCCUACGGGAGGCAGCAGUAGGGAAUCUUCCGCAAUGGGCGAAAGCCUGACGGAGCAACGCCGCGUGAGUGAUGAAGGUCUUCGGAUCGUAAAACUCUGUUAUUAGGGGAGAACAUAUGUGUAAGUAACUGUGCACAUCUUGACGGUACCUAAUCAGAAAGCCACGGCUAACUACGU